RNAcentral lists this ribosomal RNA (497 nucleotides) under uncultured bacterium. RNAcentral describes it as "partial 16S ribosomal RNA". It matches the Rfam family "Bacterial small subunit ribosomal RNA", at positions 28 to 507 of the family's 1533-position model. The record is from RNAcentral.
GAUGAACGCUGGCGGCGUGCCUAAUACAUGCAAGUCGAGCGAACAGACGAGGAGCUUGCUCCUCUGACGUUAGCGGCGGACGGGUGAGUAACACGUGGAUAACCUACCUAUAAGACUGGGAUAACUUCGGGAAACCGGAGCUAAUACCGGAUAAUAUAUUGAACCGCAUGGUUCAAUAGUGAAAGACGGUUUUGCUGUCACUUAUAGAUGGAUCCGCGCCGCAUUAGCUAGUUGGUAAGGUAACGGCUUACCAAGGCAACGAUGCGUAGCCGACCUGAGAGGGGGGACGGGCCACCUGGAACCUAGACACGGUCCAGACUCCUACGGGAGGCAGCAGUAGGGAAUCUUCCGCAAUGGGCGAAAGCCUGACGGAGCAACGCCGCGUGAGUGAUGAAGGUCUUCGGAUCGUAAAACUCUGUUAUUAGGGAAGAACAAAUGUGUAAGUAACUAUGCACGUCUUGACGGUACCUAAUCAGAAAGCCACGGCUAACUACGUG